CCCUUAGAUGUCCUGGGCCGCACGCGCGUUACACUGAUGCAUUCAACGAGCUUAUAACCUUGGCCGAGGGGCCUGGGCAAUCUUGUUAACGUGCAUCGUGAUAGGGAUAGAUUAUUGAAAUUAUUAAUCUUGAACGAGGAAUUCCUAGUAAACGCAGAUCAUCAAUCUGCAUUGAUUACGUCCCUGCCCUUUGUACACACCGCCCGUCGCACCUACCGAUUGGAUGGUCCGGUGAAGCCUCGGGAUUGUGGUUCUUGCCGCUUUGUUGUGGCGUGACCGCGAGAACUUGUCUAAACCUUAUCAUCUAGAGGAAGGUGAAGUCGUAACA
Molecule: ribosomal RNA, 328 nt
Filed under: uncultured eukaryote
Lineage: Eukaryota
Description: partial 18S ribosomal RNA
Rfam family: Eukaryotic small subunit ribosomal RNA
Source: RNAcentral